This 2041-nucleotide long non-coding RNA is filed under the name Homo sapiens (human). Its description in RNAcentral is "PREDICTED lncRNA (TCONS_00099896)". Lineage: Eukaryota; Metazoa; Chordata; Mammalia; Primates; Hominidae. The record is from RNAcentral.
GACCCGGUGAAGAGGGCAGGGAGCUGGGGCAGCCUGCUGUGCGGAGCUGGGGGAGGAGGAGGGAGCCCUGGGGGACAGACAGAAGGACCAUCGAAGGAGAAACCCUGCUGGCCUCGGGACCUGGAGGAAAGAACCAGGGCCCGUGCUCCUUGGGCCAGGAUCCGGCGAUUGGACGGAACCUCUCGGAUUCCCCAGUGCUGUGAAAUCCACUUGGGGCCAUCACACCCUUCAUUGCUGUGCUCCCUGGCAGAACUCGAAUGCAGCGUGAGCUGGGCACUUUUCCCAGGGUUUGCUCUAGGUCUGGGUCUCCCAUCAGCUCCCCCGGAGCAGAGCCUGAGGCAAGGAUUCUUGUUCGGGGGCAUCUUCCUCUCAGCACCGUGCUUUGGGAAUCGAGUGAUGGUGCUGAGUGAACCCCUGAGUGAACAUCUGUGGCUUCCUCCCACCUCGUCUCUGGAUGCACUCCUGUUCGAAUGGUACCUGAUCUUCUUCUGUGUGAGAAUUUUCUCUGGGCACAGUCUGUCCAGGAGGGGACACGAGUACCCCUAAUUUCACUAAGUGUGGCUGAAUUAUCUUCCAGGGUGUCUGUACAUGCUUGUCCCCUCCCCACGGUGGCGUGCUCAAUGGUGGCUCCCCACAGAUAUGUCCGUGUCCUAAUUCCCGGAGCCUUUGGGUCUCAUGUAGCCAAUGAUGUGAAAAAGUGAAGGAUGCUGAGAGGAGAUCAUCCAGAUGUCUUAGAGGAUAAAAAUGAGCGGGCAGAUGAAGAGAUACUCAGGGUGAGGUUUGGAAGGUGCACCAGGCCCACCCCAUGGAUGUGGCUCAGAGAGCCUGGGAAACGUGAGGUCUGUGACCUGGAUCAGGCCCAGAGAGACCUGAGCAGGAGGCGUGUGAAGCCCCUGCGCCUGUGCGAGGAGGGAAGCUGUUUCAGGGAAUUUGCCUUUCUUUCCCUGUAGUUUCAGACUAGCUGAUAAAUUACCUAAAAUGUUACCACAAGAUGCACAAUGUAACCAUCACUCAUUAUCUUCAUGUUCCUGGAAUUUUUUUUUUUUUUUUGAGAUAGAGUGUAGCCUCAUGGCAGCCUCAACCUCCUGGGCUCAAGUUGUCAGAGGCGUGUGAACCAGAGCAACUCCAUCUUGAAUGGGGCUGCGUAAAAUGAAGCUGAGACCUGUGGGGCUGCAUUCCCAGACCGCUGUGGCAUUCUGAGUCACAGGGUGAGACAGGAGGUCAGCACAAGAUACAGGUCAUAAAGACCUUGCUGAUAAAACAGGUUGCAGCAAAGGAGCCGUCCAAAUCCCACCAAAACCAAGAUGGUGACAAGAGUGACCUCUGGCCGUCCUCACUGCCACACUCCCACCAGCCGUGACAGUUUACAGAUGCCAUGGCAACCUCAGGAAGUCACCAUAUAUGGUCUAAAAAGGGGAGGUAUGAAUAAUCCACCCCUUGUUUAGCAUAUCAUCAAGAAAUAACCACAAAAACGGAGAACCAGCAGUCCUCGGGGCUGCUUUGUCUAUGGAGUAGCCAUUCUUUUUUUUUUUUUCGAGAUGGAGUCUCGCUCUGUUGCCUGGGCUGGAGUGCGGUGGCAUGAUCUUGGCUCACUGCAACCUCUGCCUCCUGGGUUUAAGUGAUUCUCCUGCCUCAGCCGAGCUGAGUAGCUGGGCUUACAGGCACCCACCACCAUGCCCGGCUAAUUUUUUGUAUUUUUAGUAAAGCCAGGGUUUCAUUAUACUAGCCAGGCUGGUCUCGAACUCCUGACCUCAUGACCUGCCUGCCUCAGCUUCCCAAAGUACUGGGAUUACCGGUGUGAACCACCGUGCCCAGCCAGAGUAGCCAUUCUUUACUCCUUUACUUUCCUAAUAAACUUCCUUUCACUUUACUCUGUGAACUUGCCCUGAAUUCUUUCUUGUGAGAGAUCCAAGAACCCUCUCUUGGGGUCUGGAUUGGCACCCCUUUCCUGUAACAAAGCCAUUCUCCCACCUUAGCCUCCCAAAUAGCUAAGACCACGGGUGUGUGCCACCGUGCCUGGCUAAUUUUUAAUUUUUUUUUU